CCAGCUCAAGUCCUUUUCUUCACAACUUCUGCUUUCAAUCGAAGUUACUAUUUACAGAAACAGAAGCCCAUGCUUCCAUUCCAGCAGGGCAGCUGGGGUGACCUGGCCUGAGUUAGGUCAAGAUUCUGCAGAUUCACGGGAGUCGGAUAAGAAGGGAGCAGGAGCUGCAAUCUAGGGAGGGCCUGAUGUUACCUUCUCAGCUAUGUUUAUGUUAAGGCCCAUGAAAAACCAUCUCCCUGGACGGAUCUCUGGGCACCAGGAGAAGGCCCUAUGAAGACGCAGAGACUGCAGCUGCCGCAAGCCCAGAAGCCGCCAAAAGUUAGAAGAGGGUCUGAUCCUGUGAGUACCCAUGAUUGCUCUGCCUGUGGAAGCUCUGCCUGUGAAAACAGUCUUGUUUUCACUAAUGCUCGGAUUCCAUCCUUCCUUCUGUUCCAGGAGUUCAGAAGUAACUCAUGUUUCAGUGCAACAUGCCACCGUCUGUCUUGAGUAAGCUGUUACUGACAGUACGUGCUAAGGCUUGAAUUAUUCAAACCCGAGUAAAACAGGUUCAAGGUUAUCUCCAGAGUGACUGUCAUACUCACUUGCUUUCUUGAGUGAAAUUGAAAUGGGAGAAGUUGCAUCCUCCCUGUCGAUAACUGAGCUCAGGACUGUGUUUCACUUGGGGAUACCACCCACUGCAGAUGUGAGCUAGGGUUCGAAGUCUCUUUGACCUCAAAAUGGGCCUCGUGUGGUACUCUCCCCAUAGAAAACACUGCCUGUCAACCAGCCACCACAAUGAAACCUUGACUUUGUCAGAAAAAAUGUUUCUAAAUGGCAAGUAUGGACUUAGACCAGUCUAAGGCCCUAUACACUCUGUGUCUUAUGUGAUGAGAAGCUGUCUCGCAAGCAUCCUGUCACAAGGAGAACCUCAACGAGUGGCAUUAGUAGACUGUUAGUGCAGCUCAGCUUUGAAAUUUUAUGGGGGCCCAACUGUGCAAAA
This 979-nucleotide long non-coding RNA is filed under the name Callithrix jacchus (white-tufted-ear marmoset). RNAcentral describes it as "lncRNA (ENSCJAG00000085268.1)". Lineage: Eukaryota; Metazoa; Chordata; Mammalia; Primates; Cebidae. The record is from RNAcentral.